This 446-nucleotide ribosomal RNA is filed under the name uncultured bacterium. RNAcentral describes it as "bacterial SSU rRNA". It matches the Rfam family "Bacterial small subunit ribosomal RNA", at positions 330 to 792 of the family's 1533-position model. The record is from RNAcentral.
GCCAGACUCCUACGGGAGGCAGCAGUGGGGAAUAUUGCACAAUGGGGGAAACCCUGAUGCAGCGACGCCGCGUGAGUGAAGAAGUAUUUCGGUAUGUAAAGCUCUAUCAGCAGGAACGAGACAAGACGGCACCUGACUAAGAAGCCCCGGCUAACUACGUGCCAGCAGCCGCGGUAAUACGUAGGGGGCAAGCGUUAUCCGGAAUCACUGGGUGUAAAGGGAGCGUAGACGGCUGAGCAAGCCUGAAGUGAAAGGCGGGGGCCCAACCCCUGGACUGCUUUGGGAACUGUACGGCUGGAGUGCAGGAGAGGUAAGUGGAAUUCCUAGUGUAGCGGUGAAAUGCGUAGAUAUUAGGAGGAACACCAGUGGCGAAGGCGACUUACUGGACUGUAACUGACGUUGAGGCACGAAAGUGUGGGGAGCAAACGGGAUUAGAUACCCGAGUA